UAUGAGAGUUUGAUCCUGGCUCAGGACGAACGCUGGCGGCGUGCCUAAUACAUGCAAGUCGUACGCUUCUUUUUCCACCGGAGCUUGCUCCACCGGAAAAAGAAGAGUGGCGAACGGGUGAGUAACACGUGGGUAACCUGCCCAUCAGAAGGGGAUAACACUUGGAAACAGGUGCUAAUACCGUAUAACAAUCGAAACCGCAUGGUUUUGAUUUGAAAGGCGCUUUCGGGUGUCGCUGAUGGAUGGACCCGCGGUGCAUUAGCUAGUUGGUGAGGUAACGGCUCACCAAGGCUACGAUGCAUAGCCGACCUGAGAGGGUGAUCGGCCACAUUGGGACUGAGACACGGCCCAAACUCCUACGGGAGGCAGCAGUAGGGAAUCUUCGGCAAUGGACGAAAGUCUGACCGAGCAACGCCGCGUGAGUGAAGAAGGUUUUCGGAUCGUAAAACUCUGUUGUUAGAGAAGAACAAGGAUGAGAGUAACUGUUCAUCCCUUGACGGUAUCUAACCAGAAA
RNAcentral lists this ribosomal RNA (514 nucleotides) under Veillonella parvula. Its description in RNAcentral is "bacterial SSU rRNA". It matches the Rfam family "Bacterial small subunit ribosomal RNA", at positions 1 to 489 of the family's 1533-position model. The record is from RNAcentral. Lineage: Bacteria; Bacillati; Bacillota; Negativicutes; Veillonellales; Veillonellaceae.